GCGGCGUGCCGGCUCCGUUCGCCGGAGAAGCAUGUUGCGGACCAGCGCCGCGUGCUUCCUCGUCGAACGGUGGCGACCAUGUUGC
Triticum aestivum (bread wheat) is the source of this 85-nucleotide non-coding RNA. The record is from Rfam. NCBI's taxonomy places the organism in Eukaryota, Viridiplantae, Streptophyta, Magnoliopsida, Poales, Poaceae.